AGUCAUAUGCUUGUCUCAAAGAUUAAGCCAUGCAUGUCUCAGUACAAGCCUAAUUAAGGUGAAACCGCGAAAGGCUCAUUAAAUCAGUUAUGGUUCCUUAGAUCGUACCCACAUUUACUUGGAUAACUGUGGUAAUUCUAGAGCUAAUACAUGCAAACAGAGCUCCGACCGGAGACGGGAGGAGUGCUUUUAUUAGAUCAAAACCAAUCGGCGGCGGGCGCGUUCGCGCGUCCGUUCGCCGCUCAAACUGGUGACUCUGAAUAACUUUCCGCUGAUCGCACGGUCUCGCACCGGCGACGCAUCUUUCAAAUGUCUGCCUUAUCAACUGUCGAUGGUAGGUUCUGCGCCUACCAUGGUCGUAACGGGUAACGGGGAAUCAGGGUUCGAUUCCGGAGAGGGAGCCUGAGAAACGGCUACCACAUCCAAGGAAGGCAGCAGGCGCGCAAAUUACCCACUCCCGGCACGGGGAGGUAGUGACGAAAAAUAACGAUACGGGACUCAUCCGAGGCCCCGUAAUCGGAAUGAGUACACUUUAAAUCCUUUAACGAGGAUCAAUUGGAGGGCAAGUCUGGUGCCAGCAGCCGCG
RNAcentral lists this ribosomal RNA (586 nucleotides) under Hygrotus nigrescens. RNAcentral describes it as "SSU rRNA". It matches the Rfam family "Eukaryotic small subunit ribosomal RNA", at positions 22 to 578 of the family's 1831-position model. The record is from RNAcentral. Lineage: Eukaryota; Metazoa; Arthropoda; Insecta; Coleoptera; Dytiscidae.